RNAcentral lists this ribosomal RNA (218 nucleotides) under uncultured bacterium. RNAcentral's name for it is "partial 16S ribosomal RNA". It matches the Rfam family "Bacterial small subunit ribosomal RNA", at positions 269 to 504 of the family's 1533-position model. The record is from RNAcentral.
CAAGGCGACGAUCAGUAGCCGGCCUGAGAGGGUGGACGGCCACAUUGGGACUGAGACACGGCCCAAACUCCUACGGGAGGCAGCAGUCGGGAAUAUUGCGCAAUGGAGGAAACUCUGACGCAGCGACGCCGCGUGAGCGAAGAAGUAUUUCGGUAUGUAAAGCUCUAUCAGCAGGGAAGAAACUGACGGUACCUGACUAAGAAGCACCGGCUAAAUAC